CCUACGGGAGGCAGCAGUAGGGAAUCUUCCGCAAUGGACGAAAGUCUGACGGAGCAACGCCGCGUGAACGAUGAAGGCCUUCGGGUCGUAAAGUUCUGUUGUUAGGGAAGAACAAGUGCUAGUUGAAUAAGCUGGCACCUUGACGGUACCUAACCAGAAAGCCACGGCUAACUACGUGCCAGCAGCCGCGGUAAUACGUAGGUGGCAAGCGUUGUCCGGAAUUAUUGGGCGUAAAGCGCGCGCAGGCGGUUUCUUAAGUCUGAUGUGAAAGCCCCCGGCUCAACCGGGGAGGGUCAUUGGAAACUGGGAAACUUGAGUGCAGAAGAGGAAAGUGGAAUUCCAAGUGUAGCGGUGAAAUGCGUAGAGAUUUGGAGGAACACCAGUGGCGAAGGCGACUUUCUGGUCUGUAACUGACGCUGAGGCGCGAAAGCGUGGGGAGCAAACAGGAUUAGAUACCCUGGUAGUCCACGCUGUAAACGAUGAGUGCUAAGUGUUAGAGGGUUUCCGCCCUUUAGUGCUGAAGUUAACGCAUUAAGCACUCCGCCUGGGGAUACGGUCGCAAGACUGAAACUCAAAGGAAUUGACGG
Molecule: ribosomal RNA, 587 nt
Filed under: uncultured bacterium
Lineage: Bacteria
Description: bacterial SSU rRNA
Rfam family: Bacterial small subunit ribosomal RNA
Source: RNAcentral